AAUGAACGCUGGCGGCGCGCCUAAUACAUGCAAGUCGAGCGAGAAGACGUAGCAAUACGUUUGUAGAGCGGCGAACGGGUGAGGAAUACAUGGGUAACCUACCCUCGAGUGGGGAAUAACUAGCCGAAAGGUUAGCUAAUACCGCGUACGCUUCUUGGACUUCGGUUCAGGGAGGAAAGCGAUGCCGAGGGUAUCGCGCUCUUGGAUGGGCUCAUGUCCUAUCAGCUGUUGGUGAGGUAACGGCUCACCAAGGCUUCGACGGGUAGCUGGUCUGAGAGGACGAUCAGCCACACUGGCACUGCGACACGGGCCAGACUCCUACGGGAGGCAGCAGUAAGGAAUAUUGCGCAAUGGGCGAAAGCCUGACGCAGCGACGCCGCGUGGGGGAUGAAGGUCUUCGGAUUGUAAACCCC
Molecule: ribosomal RNA, 413 nt
Filed under: uncultured bacterium
Lineage: Bacteria
Description: bacterial SSU rRNA
Rfam family: Bacterial small subunit ribosomal RNA
Source: RNAcentral